GUCCCGCUGGUCUAGGGGUUAUGAUCCUCCCUUAGGGUGUAACACCGCAAUUGGGAGGGGUGCCCCGUUCGAGUCGGGGGUGGGACC
This is a non-coding RNA of Filobasidium floriforme, 87 nucleotides long. Lineage: Eukaryota; Fungi; Basidiomycota; Tremellomycetes; Filobasidiales; Filobasidiaceae. The record is from the annotation of a RefSeq genome assembly.